UACGGAGGGUGCAAGCGUUAUCCGGAUUCACUGGGCGUAAAGGGUGCGUAGGCGGGUCUUUAAGUCAGGGGUGAAAUCCUGGAGCUCAACUCCAGAACUGCCUUUGAUACUGAAGAUCUUGAGUUCGGGAGAGGUGAGUGGAACUGCGAGUGUAGAGGUGAAAUUCGUAGAUAUUCGCAAGAACACCAGUGGCGAAGGCGGCUCACUGGCCCGAUACUGACGCUGAGGCACGAAAGCGUGGGGAGCAAACAGG
Molecule: ribosomal RNA, 253 nt
Filed under: uncultured bacterium
Lineage: Bacteria
Description: partial 16S ribosomal RNA
Rfam family: Bacterial small subunit ribosomal RNA
Source: RNAcentral